GCAGCUGGGUAACUCAGUUGGUUGGCAUGUGGUGCUGAGAACGCCAAGGUUGCAGGUUCGAUCCCCGUAAGGGGCAGGUGCA
Molecule: non-coding RNA, 82 nt
Organism: Podarcis lilfordi (Lilford's wall lizard)
Lineage: Eukaryota; Metazoa; Chordata; Lepidosauria; Squamata; Lacertidae
Source: the annotation of a GenBank genome assembly